GACGAACGCUGGCGGCGUGCCUAAUACAUGCAAGUCGAGCGGACGAUUCGAAAGCUUGCUUUUGAAUCGUUAGCGGCGGACGGGUGAGUAACACGUGGGCAACCUGCCCUGUAGACGGGGAUAACACCGAGAAAUCGGUGCUAAUACCGGAUAACACGAAAUGUCGCAUGACGUUUCGUUGAAAGGCGGCGCAAGCUGCCGCUACAGGAUGGGCCCGCGGCGCAUUAGCUAGUUGGUGAGGUAACGGCUCACCAAGGCGACGAUGCGUAGCCGACCUGAGAGGGUGAUCGGCCACACUGGGACUGAGACACGGCCCAGACUCCUACGGGAGGCAGCAGUAGGGAAUCUUCCGCAAUGGACGAUAGUCUGACGGAGCAACGCCGCGUGAGCGAAGAAGGCCUUCGGGUCGUAAAGCUCUGUUGUUAGGGAAGAACAAGUAACGUAGUAACUGACGUUACUAUGACGGUACCUAACGAGAAAGCCACGGCUAACUACGUG
RNAcentral lists this ribosomal RNA (498 nucleotides) under uncultured bacterium. RNAcentral describes it as "partial 16S ribosomal RNA". It matches the Rfam family "Bacterial small subunit ribosomal RNA", at positions 28 to 507 of the family's 1533-position model. The record is from RNAcentral.